AACCUGGUUGAUCCUGCCAGUAGUCAUAUGCUUGUCUCAAAGAUUAAGCCAUGCAUGUAUAAGUAUAAAUUUGUUUAUGGUGAAACUGCGAAUGGCUCAUUACAACGGUUAUAGUUUACUUGAGAUAUCACUACUGGAUACCCGUAGUAACUCUAGAGCUAAUACAUUCCUCGGGACUUAAGUCUCGUGUUUAUUAGAUGUCACCGAACAGGUUUCGGCCUGUAGGGGAGUCAUGAUAAAUCAACGAAUCGUGUUUACGAUGCUUCAAACAAGUUUCUGCCCCAUCAGCCUGGAUGGUUGUGUAUUGGACUACCAUCGCAGUUACGGGUAACGAGGAAUUAGGGUUCGAUUUCGGAGAGGGAGUCUGAGAAACGGCUACCACAUCUACGGAAGGCAGCAGGCGCGCAAAUUACCCAAUGUAAAUAAGUAUGAGGUAGUGACAAGAAAUACUAACGUGAGGCGAAAGUCUUGCGAUUAGAAUGGACUAAAUUUAAACAAUUUAGUGACGAGCAACUGGAGGGCAAGUCUGGUGCCAGCAGCCGCGGUAAUACCAGCUCCAGUAGCGUAUAUUAAAGUUGUUGCAGUUGAAACGCUCGUAGUCUGAGGUAAAUCCUUUUGGAAUAACCGUUCGCCUCGCUAGUCAGCUGACUGGUGAGAUCCCGACGGUUUUUCACCUUGAAUAAAUCAGAGUGUUCAAGGCAGGCACAGCCUGAAUACUUCCGCAUGGAAUGAGACGAAUAUUAUUUCCCUUGUUCGGUGCUUGGGUUUGUUAAUAUCUUUAGGAACAGUCGAGGACAUUUUGUACUUAUCGAAGAGAAGUGAAGUCUGGAUCGAAUAAUGACAGAACAAAGCGAAAGCAUCUGCAAAGGAUGUUUUCUUUGAUCAAGAACGAAGGUCAGGGUAUCGAAGACGAUCAGAUACCGUCGUAGUCCUGACUGUAAACUAUGCCGACUGGAGUUCCAUUGAGCAGUUUUAAACUCAGUGGGGAUCCAGAGAGAAAUCAAAGUUUUUGGGUUCUGGGGGAAGUAUGGUCGCAAGGCUGAAACUUGAAGGAAUUGACGGAAGGGCACCACCGGGCGUGGAGCUUGCGGCUUAAUUUGACUCAACGCGGGAAAACUUACCAGGUCAAAACAUGGUAAUGAUUGACAGGCUGAUAGUCCUUUCUCGAUUCCAUGGCUGGUGGUGCAUGGCCGUUCUUAGUUGGUGGACUGAUCUGUCUGGUUAAUUCCGGUAACGAACGAGACCUUGGCCUGCUAAUUAGGGGGAGCUCUUCUGCGCUUUCACCUUCUUAGAGGGACAAUGAUGGUUACAUCACUGAAGCUCGAGGCAAUAACAGGUCUGUUAUGCCCUUAGAUGUCCUGGGCCGCACGCGUGCUACAAUGACGCACUCAGCAAGCCAGCCGGUCGAAAGACCGACUAAAUCGCAAAAGUGUGUCUUGUUAGGGACAGUUCCUUGUAAUUGUGGAGCUCUAACAAGGAAUGCCUAGUAAGUGCAAGUCAACAUCUUGUGCUGAUUACGUCCCUGCCCUUUGUACACACCGCCCGUCGCUCCUACCGAUUUCGAGUGAUCAGGUGAGUUCCUUGGACCGCAAGGAAAAAGAAACGAAUCUGACCACUUAGAGGAAGGAGAAGUCGUAACAAGGUUUCCGUAGGUGAACCUGCAGAAGGAUC
RNAcentral lists this ribosomal RNA (1671 nucleotides) under uncultured eukaryote. RNAcentral's name for it is "SSU rRNA". It matches the Rfam family "Eukaryotic small subunit ribosomal RNA". The record is from RNAcentral.